UGGGGAAUUUUGGACAAUGGGCGCAAGCCUGAUCCAGCAAUGCCGCGUGAGUGAAGAAGGCCUUCGGGUUGUAAAGCUCUUUUGUCAGGGAAGAAACGGGCCGGGCUAAUAUCCUGGUCUAAUGACGGUACCUGAAGAAUAAGCACCGGCUAACUACGUGCCAGCAGCCGCGGUAAUACGUAGGGUGCAAGCGUUAAUCGGAAUUACUGGGCGUAAAGCGUGCGCAGGCGGUUGUGCAAGACCGAUGUGAAAUCCCCGGGCUUAACCUGGGAAUGGCAUUGGUGACUGCACGGCUAGAGUGUGUCAGAGGGGGGUAGAAUUCCACGUGUAGCAGUGAAAUGCGUAGAGAUGUGGAGGAAUACCGAUGGCGAAGGCAGCCCCCUGGGAUAACACUGACGCUCAUGCACGAAAGCGUGGGGAGCAAACA
Molecule: ribosomal RNA, 427 nt
Filed under: uncultured Noviherbaspirillum sp.
Lineage: Bacteria; Pseudomonadati; Pseudomonadota; Betaproteobacteria; Burkholderiales; Oxalobacteraceae
Description: bacterial SSU rRNA
Rfam family: Bacterial small subunit ribosomal RNA
Source: RNAcentral